UACGGAGGAUGCAAGCGUUAUCCGGAAUGAUUGGGCGUAAAGCGUCCGCAGGUGGCAAUGUAAGUCUGCUGUUAAAGAGUCUAGCUCAACUAGAUACAAGCAGUGGAAACUACAUAGCUAGAGUACGUUCGGGGCAGAGGGAAUUCCUGGUGUAGCGGUGAAAUGCGUAGAGAUCAGGAAGAACACCAGUGGCGAAGGCGCUCUGCUAGGCCGUAACUGACACUGAGGGACGAAAGCUAGGGGAGCGAAUGGGAUUAGAUACCCCAGUAGUCCUAGCCGUAAACGAUGGAUACUAGGCGUGGCUUGUAUCGACCCGAGCCGUGCCGUAGCUAACGCGUUAAGUAUCCCGCCUGGGGAGU
RNAcentral lists this ribosomal RNA (359 nucleotides) under uncultured Nostoc sp. RNAcentral's name for it is "bacterial SSU rRNA". It matches the Rfam family "Bacterial small subunit ribosomal RNA", at positions 524 to 881 of the family's 1533-position model. Lineage: Bacteria; Bacillati; Cyanobacteriota; Cyanophyceae; Nostocales; Nostocaceae. The record is from RNAcentral.